Molecule: long non-coding RNA, 572 nt
Filed under: Homo sapiens (human)
Lineage: Eukaryota; Metazoa; Chordata; Mammalia; Primates; Hominidae
Description: HSALNT0212435
Source: RNAcentral
ACCUCGCAGAGGGUGAAGAGUCCGUAGGCCGCCAGCCACACCGUGCAGGUGACAGCGGUGAGCGAACGCAGCGAGAGCCGAGGGCAGCUGAGGCAGAAUUCCCGGCAGGACGGGGAGUAGUAGCGGCGCUGCAGCGCCAGGCGGCCGCCGCAGAUAUCCGAAAAGCUCCGCUCAUCCUCCAUGACGCCCCCACUCGGCCGCCCGCACCGCGCGGCGCUGCACUGCGCUCGCCGGCCCUGGCCGUCUCGCCCGCUCCAGACCCGCUUCCGGCAGCCGCGUCACCACGCCCCGCCCUAAGCCUGCGCAGCCUCAGUUGCGCGCCGAGAGCUCUGCUGGGGGCUGAUGGUUGUGCGUUCUUCCGGGCCGGCCUUGACUGUCUUCGAAAAAACCUCGUCGGGGCAAUAAAAACUUCUGUGACCAAGCGUAUGGGGGGCUUUCCCCAUACACCAAGAAAGCAGUUCGACACUAUCCACCUGGAAGUCACGUCAGAUCCUACAGAACUUGUCAACAACUCAGUCCCACAAAAGUGCCCCUGACUUGAGACAUCAAUUGCAAGUCCGAGCUUCUGGAAC